Molecule: ribosomal RNA, 253 nt
Filed under: uncultured bacterium
Lineage: Bacteria
Description: partial 16S ribosomal RNA
Rfam family: Bacterial small subunit ribosomal RNA
Source: RNAcentral
CACGUAGGGCGCAAGCGUUGUCCGGAAUUAUUGGGCGUAAAGAGCUCGUAGGCGGUCUGUUACGUCUGCUGUGAAAACCCAGGGCUUAACCCUGGGCUUGCAGUGGAUACGGGCAGACUAGAGGCAGGUAGGGGAGAAUGGAAUUCCCGGUGUAGCGGUGAAAUGCGCAGAUAUCGGGAGGAACACCGGUGGCGAAGGCGGCUCACUGGCCAGUUUCUGACGCUGUAGCGCGAAAGCGUGGGGAUCAAACAGG